GGUUAAGCGACUAAGCGUACACGGUGGAUGCCUAGGCAAUCAGAGGCGAUGAAGGACGUGCUAAUCUGCGAAAAGCGUCGGUAAGGUGAUAUGAACCGUUAUAACCGACGAUGUCCGAAUGGGGAAACCCAGUGCAAUUCGUUGCACUAUCGUUUGAUGAAUCCAUAGUCAAACGAGGCGAACCGGGGGAACUGAAACAUCUCAGUACCCCGAGGAAAAGAAAUCAACCGAGAUUCCCCUAGUAGCGGCGAGCGAACGGGGAGCAGCCCAGAGUCUUAAUCAGUAUCAGCAUCAGGAGAACGGUCUGGAAAGGCCGGCAAUAAAGGGUGAUAGCCCCGUAUCCGAAGGUGUUGGUGUUGUGAACUCGACGAGUAGGGCGGGACACGUGUUAUCCUGUCUGAAUAUGGGGGGACCAUCCUCCAAGGCUAAAUACUCCUGAUUGACCGAUAGUGAACCAGUACCGUGAGGGAAAGGCGAAAAGAACCCCGGCGAGGGGAGUGAAAUAGAACCUGAAACCGUGUACGUACAAGCAGUGGGAGCCUUGAUUUAUCAGGGUGACUGCGUACCUUUUGUAUAAUGGGUCAGCGACUUAUAUUCUGUAGCAAGGUUAACCGAAUAGGGGAGCCGUAGGGAAACCGAGUCUUAACUGGGCGAAUGAGUUGCAGGGUAUAGACCCGAAACCCGGUGAUCUAGCCAUGGGCAGGUUGAAGGUUGGGUAACACUAACUGGAGGACCGAACCGACUAAUGUUGAAAAAUUAGCGGAUGACUUGUGGCUGGGGGUGAAAGGCCAAUCAAACCGGGAGAUAGCUGGUUCUCCCCGAAAGCUAUUUAGGUAGCGCCUCGUGAACUCAUCUUCGGGGGUAGAGCACUGUUUCGGCUAGGGGGUCAUCCCGACUUACCAACCCGAUGCAAACUACGAAUACCGAAGAAUGUUAUCACGGGAGACACACGGCGGGUGCUAACGUUCGUCGUGAAGAGGGAAACAACCCAGACCGCCAGCUAAGGUCCCAAAGUCAUGGUUAAGUGGGAAACGAAGUGGGAAGGCUCAGACAGCCAGGAUGUUGGCUUAGAAGCAGCCAUCAUUUAAAGAAAGCGUAAUAGCUCACUGGUCGAGUCGGCCUGCGCGGAAGAUGUAACGGGGCUAAACCAUGCACCGAAGCUGCGGCAGCGACAUGUAAAUGUUGUUGGGUAGGGGAGCGUUCUGUAAGCCUGUGAAGGUGUGCUGCGAGGCAUGCUGGAGGUAUCAGAAGUGCGAAUGCUGACAUAAGUAACGAUAAUGCGGGUGAAAAACCCGCACGCCGGAAGACCAAGGGUUCCUGUCCAACGUUAAUCGGGGCAGGGUGAGUCGACCCCUAAGGCGAGGCAGAAAUGCGUAGUCGAUGGGAAACAGGUUAAUAUUCCUGUACUGGUGAUAAUUGCGAUGGGGGGACGGAGAAGGCUAGGCUGGCCGGGCGACGGUUGUCCCGGUUUAAGGAUGUAGGUGGGUGAAUUAGGCAAAUCCGGUUCGCUAUACACUGAGGUCUGAUGACGAGUCACUACGGUGGCGAAGUAGCUCAUGCCCCGCUUCCAGGAAAAGCCUCUAAGCUCUAGAUUAUCAUUAAUCGUACCCCAAACCGACACAGGUGGUCAGGUAGAGAAUACUCAGGCGCUUGAGAGAACUCGGGUGAAGGAACUAGGCAAAAUGGUGCCGUAACUUCGGGAGAAGGCACGCUGGCAUUAGGUGAAGUGGUUUACCCAUGGAGCCGAAGCCAGUCGCAGAUACCAGCUGGCUGCAACUGUUUAUUAAAAACACAGCACUGUGCAAACACGAAAGUGGACGUAUACGGUGUGACGCCUGCCCGGUGCUGGAAGGUUAAUUGAUGGGGUUAUCCGUAAGGAGAAGCUCUUGAUCGAAGCCCCAGUAAACGGCGGCCGUAACUAUAACGGUCCUAAGGUAGCGAAAUUCCUUGUCGGGUAAGUUCCGACCUGCACGAAUGGCGUAAUGAUGGCCAGGCUGUCUCCACCCGAGACUCAGUGAAAUUGAACUCGCUGUGAAGAUGCAGUGUACCCGCGGCAAGACGGAAAGACCCCGUGAACCUUUACUAUAGCUUGACACUGAACAUUGAGCCUUGAUGUGUAGGAUAGGUGGGAGGCUUUGAAGUGUGGACGCCAGUCUGCAUGGAGCCAACCUUGAAAUACCACCCUUUAAUGUUUGAUGUUCUAACGUAGCCCCAUAAUCUGGGGUGCGGACAGUGUCUGGUGGGUAGUUUGACUGGGGCGGUCUCCUCCCAAAGCGUAACGGAGGAGCACGAAGGUUGGCUAAGCAUGGUCGGACAUCAUGCGGUUAGUGCAAAGGCAUAAGCCAGCUUGACUGCGAGAGUGACGGCUCGAGCAGGUACGAAAGUAGGUCUUAGUGAUCCGGUGGUUCUGAAUGGAAGGGCCAUCGCUCAACGGAUAAAAGGUACUCCGGGGAUAACAGGCUGAUACCGCCCAAGAGUUCAUAUCGACGGCGGUGUUUGGCACCUCGAUGUCGGCUCAUCACAUCCUGGGGCUGAAGUAGGUCCCAAGGGUAUGGCUGUUCGCCAUUUAAAGUGGUACGCGAGCUGGGUUUAGAACGUCGUGAGACAGUUCGGUCCCUAUCUGCCGUGGGCGUUGGAAGAUUGAAAGGGGCUGCUCCUAGUACGAGAGGACCGGAGUGGACGCACCGCUGGUGUUCGGGUUGUCAUGCCAAUGGCACUGCCCGGUAGCUAAGUGCGGAAGAGAUAACCGCUGAAAGCAUCUAAGCGGGAAACUUGCCUUGAGAUGAGUCUUCCCUGACUCUUUAAGGGUCCUAAAGGAACGUUUAAGACGAAGACGUUGAUAGGCUGGGUGUGUAAGCGUAGCGAUACGUUGAGCUAACCAGUACUAAUGAACCGUGAGGCUUAACCUG
This 2909-nucleotide ribosomal RNA is filed under the name Providencia stuartii. Its description in RNAcentral is "23S ribosomal RNA". It matches the Rfam family "Bacterial large subunit ribosomal RNA". Lineage: Bacteria; Pseudomonadati; Pseudomonadota; Gammaproteobacteria; Enterobacterales; Morganellaceae. The record is from RNAcentral.